Molecule: long non-coding RNA, 1664 nt
Filed under: Lytechinus variegatus (green sea urchin)
Lineage: Eukaryota; Metazoa; Echinodermata; Echinoidea; Temnopleuroida; Toxopneustidae
Description: uncharacterized LOC121407432
Source: RNAcentral
CCGCGCCUGGGAACCCCCAUUUCUGACUCGACUAUUGAUCGACUCGCUUGGGAUUCCCCAAGGGAUUUUUUUUAAGACAAACAAACACGGGAAUCAUGCAUGAUUCCACCAAUGAAAAUGAAGCGAACAUGGGAAACAUGCGUGAUCAAAUAAUUCAACCAAUGACAGUAGCUUGUGAAUACGUCAUGUUUAGGCUCAAAAAGUGAAAAUUUUGCUUCAGAUAACGUAUAAAUAUCAUAGUUUGGCAGCAUAUCUUUCUUUAUACUGGAUGGACUCGGAGCAGAACUGUAUUGGAUUCGAUAGCAUUUCGUGAGAGCGAGCUAGGUACUCAUAAUACGUAAGAGGAGUUUUCGCCAAAAUCGCUUCAUAGGCGAAAUAAUUUACGUUGGACAACGUUGGCCUCCGAUCGAGCAACAGUCUUUUGACCACUGUUUAUUUCUACAAAACGGAGGAGCGAUUGUUGUAAGAAACUGAUUAUUGUCAAUAAUUUUCCAUCAAACAAACUGGAUUUUUGGUGUACACUAAGUUGCUUGCAAACCCUCCAUGGAUUAAGUUUGAUGUCACUGCAUCCAUUCCUUGAUAUGACCAAGAAGUUUAUACGACUGGAGUUCCAACGGGCAACAAAUUUAUUCAAGCAGCUGCUUAUUUCUGAAGAAAGCACAAACAAAAUCUACUACAGUGUAGUAAUGUUGCCUUUGAUAUUCGCCAUUCGAAGCCGCCAGUUUCCUGGGAAAAACCGAGAAGUGAUUUUUUUUAAAUAAUUUGUAUCAAUAGGUCUAUCUCAUCAUAUCAAUAAACGAACUGGAAAUUGGGCACCAAUCGAUAUUGUGCCAAGAUUUUUUUGCUAGAUUGUAUCAACUAGGCUUGAAUUAGUGAAGAAAGUAUGGAUUUGACCUUCAUAGAAUCCAGAUUUUGACACUUUUCCGAUCGUUCCCAACAUUAUAUAUACUAACAUAACAUACGGAUGUUAGAAUAUUAAUUGUUGUUCAUGAUUUUAUAUGUCAGAUUAGUGCACGCACAGUUAGUAUUCAGAAAAUAUUGCACCAUUUCUUUUCCCAUGCCCUGCAAGGUAAGAAUUAUGAACCGCUCACAAUACCAGACCGUAUAAUGCAGUUAAAAUGCAGGAAUAUGUUUUUUCUCCCCAUUUGCAAAUAAGAUUCAACAAAGUAAAUGCCUGGAUGAAAGUUUGCUGGCGGCUUCGAACUUGAUUCAAAGAGAAUUAGUUUGCUGACUGUGGCUCCAUCUCUAUUUAAACCUUGAUCAUAUAUACAUACCAAGAAAAUACAAGUGCAAUUUUAGAUCUAGUGGUACGGAGCUUCUCAGGCUUUUGGGGUGCAAUUAACCAUAAGAAAGAAGUUUUUAACAUUAGGCUGCAAUUGGUUGUAUUCUCCACUCUAAACGAUGGCGAAUCUGUUAGGGAAGGAGCAAAUUAAUUUUGUACCAUUGUGAAAACUUAUGCACCCUAAAACAUGCAAUGUUGCAUGUUGUAUUAUACAAACGAAUACUCAUGGGGGCAAACAAGACCAAAACCAGCCUUUCUCGCUCUUUUAUUCAUCGGGGGCAAGUUAAGUAUACACUUUUAAAGGGGGGUCCAGGCUAAAAAUACCACAGUUUGAAGUGGUAAAGAAAAAUCAGACAAAACACUGAAAAGUUCUUCAAAAUUG